UAUAUAUAGGCUAUGUUUAGUUCACCCUGAAAACCAAAAAGUUUUCAAGAUUUCCUGUCACAUCGAAUCUUGUGGCACAUGCAUGAAACAUUAAAUAUGGACGAAAACAAAAACUAAUUACACAGUUUAGCUGUAAAUCACGAGACGAAUCUUUUGAUCCUAGUUAGUCCAUGAUUGGAUAAUAUUUGUCACAAACAAACGAAAGUGCUACAGUACCGAAAACUUUUCACUCUUCGGAACUAAACAAGGCCAUAGUCUGCAUAUGGCUUCACUGUGACAGCAACAUCGAACUACUCCUGACUCCCGUCCUGAUUGGACCGAUUGGAUCUCGUGUCGUGUGAAGCCUUGCCCAGCAGCAUCUGCAAUACUACUGCUUCCGUGAACGAUUGUUUUUUGGACCAAAUAAUAAUUGUAGCGUGACGGCGGACCCCCACACGGCGGCACCGGCACGGUAAAAAGAUUCCCUUUGUGCUUCGUCGAUGGACCAUGCAUGCAUGGUUUCGGCGUACGUACGUACUGUACGUUUGAUGGCUUUAAAUUUUAAUUCGGUAUGGUUUAGAUGCAUCUAAAAAUCCAAAACUUUACAAGAUUUCAUAUCACAUCAUAUCUUACAACACAUUAAAUAUAGAUAAAAAAAGGUAACUAAUUACACAGUUUACUUGUAAAUCACGAUAUAAAUCUUUUAAGCCUAGUUACUUCAUAAUUAGAAAAUAUUUGUUAAAUAAAAAUAAAAGUGCUACAGUGUCAAAAUUAAAAAAAAAAAUCUAAACAAGGCCUGCUUGAGCUUGCGCAAGCCACGUUUCCUACGGUCCACGCACGCCUCCUGUUGAUGAUGAUUUGUGCCUGUGUAGGCAGAGGCAGAGGCCGGGCCGCCGGAGCACGUUCCGUGUCUGCGGCUCUGCGCGCAGGCACGCCCGCCCG
RNAcentral lists this long non-coding RNA (921 nucleotides) under Sorghum bicolor (sorghum). RNAcentral's name for it is "long non-coding RNA (SBIC_LNC004196)". The record is from RNAcentral. Lineage: Eukaryota; Viridiplantae; Streptophyta; Magnoliopsida; Poales; Poaceae.